This 467-nucleotide ribosomal RNA is filed under the name uncultured Janthinobacterium sp. Its description in RNAcentral is "bacterial SSU rRNA". It matches the Rfam family "Bacterial small subunit ribosomal RNA", at positions 336 to 795 of the family's 1533-position model. Lineage: Bacteria; Pseudomonadati; Pseudomonadota; Betaproteobacteria; Burkholderiales; Oxalobacteraceae. The record is from RNAcentral.
UUCCUACGGGAGGCAGCAGUGGGGAAUUUUGGACAAUGGGCGAAAGCCUGAUCCAGCAAUGCCGCGUGAGUGAAGAAGGCCUUCGGGUUGUAAAGCCCUUUUGUCAGGGAAGAAACGGUGAGAGCUAAUAUCUCUUGCUAAUGACGGUACCUGAAGAAUAAGCACCGGCUAACUACGUGCCAGCAGCCGCGGUAAUACGUAGGGUGCAGGCGUUAAUCGGAAUUACUGGGCGUAAAGCGUGCGCAGGCGGUUUUGUAAGUCUGAUGUGAAAUCCCCGGGCUCAACCUGGGAAUUGCAUUGGAGACUGCAAGGCUAGAAUCUGGCAGAGGGGGGUAGAAUUCCACGUGUAGCAGUGAAAUGCGUAGAUAUGUGGAGGAACACCGAUGGCGAAGGCAGCCCCCUGGGUCAAGAUUGACGCUCAUGCACGAAAGCGUGGGGAGCAAACAGGAUUAGAUACCCUGGUAGUC